Molecule: ribosomal RNA, 253 nt
Filed under: uncultured bacterium
Lineage: Bacteria
Description: partial 16S ribosomal RNA
Rfam family: Bacterial small subunit ribosomal RNA
Source: RNAcentral
UACGAAGGGGGCUAGCGUUGUUCGGAAUUACUGGGCGUAAAGCGCGCGCAGGCGGCUAUCCAAGUCAGUGGUGAAAGCCCGGAGCUUAACUCCGGAACUGCCAUUGAAACUGUUUAGCUUGAGGACGAGAGAGGUGAGUGGAAUUCCCAGUGUAGAGGUGAAAUUCGUAGAUAUUGGGAAGAACACCGGUGGCGAAGGCGGCUCACUGGACCAUAACUGACGCUGAUGCACGAAAGCUAGGGGAGCAAACAGG